This 254-nucleotide unclassified non-coding RNA is filed under the name plant metagenome. RNAcentral's name for it is "partial contains small subunit ribosomal RNA, internal transcribed spacer 1, and 5.8S ribosomal RNA". The stretch from base 1 to 53 matches the Rfam family "Eukaryotic small subunit ribosomal RNA", at positions 1779 to 1831 of the family's 1831-position model. The record is from RNAcentral.
GGAAUAAAAGUCGUAACAAGGUUUCCGUAGGUGAACCUGCGGAAGGAUCAUUAAAGUUAUAGUCCCCUGGCCCUCUGGGCUGGGGUCUUCUAUACCACCCUUUGUUUAUUACACCUUUGUUGCUUUGGCAGGCCUGCCCUCGGGCUGCUGGCUCCGGCCGGCUCGCGUCUGCCAGAGGACCUAACUCUGUUUGUAUAUGAAGUCUGAGUACUAUAUAAUAGUUAAAACUUUCAACAACGGAUCUCUUGGUUCUG